GGCCCUGGAGAGAGAGCAGAGGAGAGCCUGUCAUGGAAGUCCUUUAUCUCAGCAUUGCUGGCGACCACGAGCGUUUGAACUUGCAGCGAGUCCAGGGGGCGGAACUUCUCUGUUCCUGUGACAUGCAGGAAGCACGUGUAGAGCUUGGUGGCUCCCAGAGGCCACCUGGGGCUCCAGCUGACCCUUCCGCCACCUGUGGCAGGUGGAAAGACCCCGAACCCUUCCCACAGCCUCCAGUGGCACACCAUGCUCAAGACCCAGUGGCAAGCUCUGCAGCCUCUAACAGGAACCAGAACCUCACACGGAUGAUGGGAGUCCUUUCCUGACACUGGGGAGGGGAGGAAGGAGCUGCUGUGUUGGAAACACAGGUCCAGGGGAAGCCCCCUGGCCUGAAUGAGGCUGUGGUGUGGGACCACCAGGUAGGAGGCAGGUGCUGUGAGGGGCUGGCCUUCCCAUCUCUCGGAGCAUGGAAGAAAUGCACGCUCUCCGUGAUACCGCCUCCAAGCCCACCCACCUAGGAGGGAUGGUCUGAAAUGUACAGCGAGGCCAGGCAUACUGCCGGAGCAUCAGUACAGAUCUAAAUGAGCGUGAGGUUAUGGUAAGUUAUUAAAUGGAGAGAAUGUGCCUGCAGGAUCACCUCUAGUUUUUAAAACGUAAGCUGACGGCUAAACACACGCCUUGGCCUUGCCCCCAGCAUCGAGUACCAUCUGCUGAACGGGGAGGGCGGGGUGCCACAUAGACCUCCCCUCCCCAAAAUCCAGUGCCCAACCACGAAACCCAACUCAGGUUAACUUUGGAGACAGGAGAAAAUAAAAAUGAAAUUUUAAGAAAAACUCCCUGUUUGCUGAAGGUAUCUGGGAAAAGCACUGAGAAUCUUUGAGAAAUUCGUGACUGCAACCGCCGGUGUGUCGUGUGUCCACGUCUGUGACGCCAGACUGAGGGGAACGGGGACAGCUGGGCGCACGGUGUCUGAGCGAGCCAGAGGGAAAUCACGGUGGUGAGAGUGAUUGUGUCUAUGCAGGCUUUUCAUCCCUACCUGAGAUAGGGGACAGCAGCGUGUUCUCCUCGCCACCAGAAUUCAGGAAGACGUCCAGGGCCUCCUGGUCAGAGAUAUCCAUCAGAUCCAUCUGCUCCAGCAUGUCCACGUUCACCUCCAUGGACGACAUGCUGCCCAUGGGCUCUGCGGGGACCGGCACGAGAGGAGGUUAGGCUUUGCCCUGGGUGAACUCCCACUGCAUUAGGUAUUAGCAUGUUGUGUUUUCUGGGUAUAAAAUACCUUCUACUUCUAUCUUCAAAAUUGAUUUUGGAGGAAUGUAUUAUUGACAUGUCCCAGUUUGGUGGUGGUUAAAUCCAUCCUAGCUUAACCAUGAUUACUGUUACCUCUUACACCAUCCACAGCAGAUCCUCUUUUCAUCCCCAGCCAUGUGCCUGCAUGUGCUGAAGGCAACCCUUUCUGCAGUAAACAGUUGCAGCUCAAAAGAGGCUGACAUUCCUGCCAGACACCCCUGACGGUGGUUGCCUCUAACUUUAUUACAGUUCCAUUUGGCAUCUUCCCUGCCCUUACAACAUUUCUCAGGUCUUCCAUCUUAACAACGGAUCAAGGUUGGGUCUGCCGCAAGCUGGCGAGUUGGAAAGAGCUUCCAGUGAUGAAAGCAUAAACUCAGCCCACCAGCAUAAAGACGCCACAGGGCAAGGAGUCUGAGCCUGGUGAGGGGUGUGUCCAGGGGAGUGUCUAGAGUUCUGCGAUCCAGAAAACUACAAGCCAGGUAGCUUAAGUAGAUGGUACCUGUCACAAGCAGAUACAAAUUUCUGGAUGUGGACACAUCUUUAACCUGGGUCUUAACAGGAAUAUAAACAACACAAAAUCCAGUCCAGUCUAGAACUUACAGCACACACAUCCCUGAGUGAGGGUCAGCAGAAACAAAGAUUAUUAAAAUCUUUCCCCAAGAAUCUAAAUGGCUUUAAAUAUCUUAAAGAUGAGAAUAAGAUAAGGAACACAGUGUCAGAAAUCAUGACAGGCAUUUGAAAAGAGCCAGAUAGGAUUUUUCCAAAUAGGAAGAAUCACUGAAAUUGAUUAAAACUGUGGCAAGUUAAAAGUCCUGCUAGUAAACUAGAAGACAAGUUCUCCACUACAGCAAAGACAUAAACAAGUGGAAGUAUGAAAAAGUGCAGAAGUUUCACAGUUCAAAAUGCGAGUGGAGGGUGUGGGGAUGGGUAUUGUAAGAGGCUGAUGAUCUAGACUUGAUGCAAGAUCUGACAUCCCAGACUUAGGAGCAAAACACAUUCCAAGCGAGGCAGGUAAACCCUCACCUGAACUGCAGUGAAACGAUGAACAUCAGAGAAAAGGCAGAUGAGGAAAGAGGAGGAGGUGCGGGCGGCUUCUCAACAGCAGGAAGCAGGAGACAGUGGAGUGAUAAGUUCAAAGAGAUGAACUAAAGACCAUCUCUUAAAACAGAUGUGUGAAAUGCCCCCUGAGCCUGCUCUCUGGAGAGGCCCAGGAGGGAGGCACGUUCAGCGAAGACGGUGUCUUAAGUGAGUAAACAUAAAGCUCUGAAUAAAAUAAUAGCUAACUCAGGGCCUUUACUCCAGCCAGACUGAAGGACUGGAUGAUGCCAAUGGGACGGGGCACGAGGUGACAGCUUCGUCCCGUGGGAAGGUAGGAAUCUGCUGUCUCGGGGCCUGCGGCACAGCGCGGGCACAGGUGAAAGGUUGGGGGGGGGACCCCAGGGACAGUGGAGACAGCCACCCCAGGUGGCAGAGCCAGGUGGCACCUCCCAUCAGCGCCACCCUCGGCUGCUAGAAGUCACAGCCACUUAAUGGGCACACUGGGCGGUGCCAUCCAAGGGUUCCUGCAAUGCUGACCCAGCGGGCGACCUGCCAACACAGGUCGAGCCUGCUCCCCUUGGGGCUGCCUCCUGGAGACGGGGGCACUGCUGGAAGGGGAAGGGGCAUGCGGGUCCUCUCUGGGGCUGGGGAGGCCUUGAUGGCUCUGGGCUUUUUUCCUUCAGUUUUGAAAGCACAGUCUCCCUUUUUUCUCUCUCUGGCCAUCCUCUUACAAAGGGGAGGAAAAAAAAAAAUGGACUGAAAAGCAUAGGAAACAUUUUCAGGAAAGUAGAAAGCACCAAAUAAGGUAGUAAUGAAGCCAAUUUUAUAAUCUGUUCUGUGGCAAAUCUGGUUGAUUUAACAUUUGCUGUGGUUACUGCCUGCCCGGCUUCAUCACUGUCUCAUUUGGUGCUUUCUAGUUUCCUGAAGAUGGAAAAUGUUUCUUAUUAGUGAUAAAAGUCUAGUUACAUUCUGUUAGUAAGAGACACUCAAAAUAUUAGAAACAUUUCAAAUGUAAGGAAAAACAGGAAGUCAGCAAGCAAAUAAUUAAAGGAGAAAGCUGAUACGGCUGUAUUACUAUCAAAAUAGAUUUAAAGAGGAAAGAAAAGCAAUAUUGAGGUAAAGCAUAGCAUUUAAUAAUUAUUUUAAAUUCAAUUCACCAGGAAGAUAAUUCAAAAUUUCUGUGUGACUAUAUAUUUUGUGGUUUUAUUUUUAAAGUAAAAUAUGGAAGCACGACAAGGAAAAUGUAAGGAGUCCAUCCUAAUUGAGGGGAAAAGGAAGGUUUAAUGUACCUCUGAUAAUUAAGCAAUCCAAAAUGGAUAUUAAUAGGAAACGUCUGAACAGGCCAAUUUAUAAGUUGUCUGAAACGUACACUUACAGAUCCUCAUGCCUGUCACCUAGAAUCUUGUUCUUAACUACACACAAAACAUGUAGCAAAAAUACUCUAAAAGAACAUAGUGUCAGUCUUGAAUCAAAGAAGAAACCCCCUUUUCCAGCCACAAUAAAAUUUAGUAUUUAAAAAACACUUCUAAACAACUUCACAAGUCAAAUAAAGCUUAAUGGAAAAAAAUUUAAAAAACCCAGGACUAUUACCAAAAUUUAGAGAAUAUUCUGUGUGCAGUUUACCAAGAAGAAAAAUUAAAGGCACAAGUUAACAGCCUGAGGGCUGCAAAAUGCAAACCUGAGCCCAAGGUCUGCAAAGACUGAAAGGCAUGUGGGUCUGAAGAUUAGACAGAAUCUAAACAAAUCCAUCGGAAACUCACAAAAGGAAAGCAAACCUCUAGAACCAUAAGAGAAAAAUAGUUGAGCUCUUCCGUCAGGAAAGCAUGGGUCCCUGACUGUCAGAAGUUACAGCCAACACAGGCCAGACACGUGGAAAAGUGGAACAGAAGAGGGCCUCAGAAACACUCGGGAAUGUACUGAGGCCUCAGAAACAGAGUGGAGGAGAGAACGGUGCGCAGGCAGUUGCCGCUGUGAACUGCAGGGAGAGCCUUCCUUCCCCACGGACACGAACCAGCUGGUGGUGGCUUGAGGUGCCAAAUGGAAAACAGUUGACCUUUUGGAAUAAAACAGCAUAAUGUUCUUAUAACAUGGAGGGAAGGGCUUCCUAAACAAAAGUGGGCUCAGCUGGUCACAUUAAGAAUAAACGCAUUUUGCAAAGGCCACACUGGAAUAGCCACAGAUAUAAUCGGGAAAGUCUGGUAAGACUCGAGGGAGACAACCAACCCGUAGAAAGAUGGACAGUCAAGGAAGUGCAUGUUAAAACCAAAAUAGAGUGGCAAAAGUUUAAGUGUCUGACACAACUAAGUGUUGACAGAGCUGUGGAGUGGCGGGCAUGCACGCUGGGCGAGCGUGAACUGCCGUGGGUAUCCUGGCGAGCACCCACUACAGUUAGAUGCUUGCCAUAUGACCAGGUAAUCAUUUGCCCAGUGACAUAUCCUAAAGAAGCGGGUUGCGAGCUGUGGACCCAAGACGCGAGCUCCUGACAGGCACUUUCAAGUUCUCUGCCUCUGCUGCAGGCGCCCUGAAAGUGCUGAGCUCAGCUACGUGGCGGAGCGCAGCUGCUGUUCUCUUCGCAGCUCCCCUCCCCUCGUGGCCUGCUGUCUCAUGAUGCUCAGAUCUGUGGUGUUUGUCCCUUAUGGACUGAAUGCGUGCCCUAACCCCCUUGGGAGGUGGCUCAGCUGGUACAGAACCUGCCUGCAAUGCAGGAGACCUGGGUUCGAUCCCUGGGUCGGGAAGAUCCCCUGGAGAAGGGAAUGGCUACCCACUCCAGUACUCUGGCCUGGAGAAUUCCAUGGACAGAGGAGCCCGGUGGGCUGCAGUCCAUGGGGUCACAAAGAUUCGGACACGACUCAGUGACUUUCCCACACACACCUUGGGGGGAGGUGAUUAUUUGAGAUGAAGUCCUGAGGGUGGGGCCCUCGGGAUGGGAAUCACUGCCCUCCUGAGAAGAGACCCCAGAGCCCUCACCACAAC
Bubalus bubalis (water buffalo) is the source of this 5298-nucleotide long non-coding RNA. RefSeq lists it as uncharacterized. The transcript has 2 exons. Lineage: Eukaryota; Metazoa; Chordata; Mammalia; Artiodactyla; Bovidae. The record is from RefSeq and is a predicted model, not a curated record.